Molecule: ribosomal RNA, 463 nt
Filed under: uncultured bacterium
Lineage: Bacteria
Description: partial 16S ribosomal RNA
Rfam family: Bacterial small subunit ribosomal RNA
Source: RNAcentral
GAUGAACGCUGACAGAAUGCUUAACACAUGCAAGUCUUUGGCGAAGCUGUGCUUGCACAGCCUAGCCAAGGCGGACGGGUGAGUAACGCGUAAGGAACUUGCCCUGCAGUCAGGGAUAACAGACGGAAACGACUGAUAAGACCUGGUAAAGUCAGGCGGACUCAUGUCCAGCCUGAUGAAAAGUGAUGCUGCAGGAGAGCCUUGCGUCCUACUAGCUUGUUGGUGGGGUAACGGCCCACCAAGGCGAUGAUAGGUAGCCGGCCUGAGAGGGUGGACGGCCACAAGGGGACUGAGAUACGGCCCUUACUCCUACGGGAGGCAGCAGUGGGGAAUAUUGGACAAUGGGGGCAACCCUGAUCCAGCAAUUCUGUGUGCACGAUGAAGGUUUUCGGAUUGUAAAGGGCUUUCAGCAGGGAAGAAAAAAAUGACGGUACCUGCAGAAGAAGCGACGGCUAAAUACGUG